Molecule: small nuclear RNA, 107 nt
Organism: Camelus dromedarius (Arabian camel)
Lineage: Eukaryota; Metazoa; Chordata; Mammalia; Artiodactyla; Camelidae
Source: Ensembl
CUGGUGGCUUCAGCAGCAGGUGUACUGAAGUCGGAACGAUACGGGGAGGAUUGGCGUGGCCCCUCCACAAGGAUGAUAUGCAACUCUGUGAAGACUUUGUAUUAAAA